This 253-nucleotide ribosomal RNA is filed under the name uncultured bacterium. RNAcentral describes it as "partial 16S ribosomal RNA". It matches the Rfam family "Bacterial small subunit ribosomal RNA", at positions 524 to 776 of the family's 1533-position model. The record is from RNAcentral.
GACGGGGGGUCCUAGCGUUGUUCGGAAUCAUUGGGCGUAAAGCGUGCGCAGGCGGUGGCUCAAGCCAGGCGUGAAAUCCUCGGGCUUAACCUGGGAAUGGCGUUUGGGACUGGGUCGCUAGAGUGUGGCAGAGGGAGGUGGAAUUCCACGUGUAGCAGUGAAAUGCGUAGAGAUGUGGAGGAACACCGAUGGCGAAGGCAGCCUCCUGGGCCAGCACUGACGCUCAUGCACGAAAGCGUGGGGAGCAAACAGG